This 302-nucleotide small nuclear RNA is filed under the name Octodon degus (degu). RNAcentral describes it as "7SK RNA (ENSODEG00000023111.1)". It matches the Rfam family "7SK RNA". From Rfam's summary of the family: 7SK was discovered as an abundant small nuclear RNA in the mid-70s but a possible function has only recently been suggested. Two independent studies have found that 7SK RNA binds the CDK9/cyclin T complex (known as elongation factor P-TEFb). Lineage: Eukaryota; Metazoa; Chordata; Mammalia; Rodentia; Octodontidae. The record is from Rfam by way of RNAcentral.
GGGUAUACGGGCAAUCUGGCUGUGGCAUCUGUGACCCCACUCAUCAAUGGGGUUGACUGAACUGAUCUGGCUGGCUAGGCAGGGACCCCCCUUCUCCCUCACCUUAACACUUGACUCCAUGUGCAUCCCCCCUAAAGCUGUGGGCUCAAAGAAGACAACCACCCCCAACAGAGGAGGACCAUUUCCUCGGUCAUGGAUAUAUGAGUAGUUAUGCCACCCUGAUAGAAUGUCCAAAAACCAAAACAUAAUUUAAAAAUCUUGCCAACUUGAAAUGUAUAAUGAACAUUUUAGUUUAUUUCCUA